Molecule: ribosomal RNA, 439 nt
Filed under: uncultured bacterium
Lineage: Bacteria
Description: partial 16S ribosomal RNA
Rfam family: Bacterial small subunit ribosomal RNA
Source: RNAcentral
CCUACGGGAGGCAGCAGUGGGGAAUAUUGCACAAUGGGCGAAAGCCUGAUGCAGCAACGCCGCGUGAGCGAUGAAGGCCUUCGGGUCGUAAAGCUCUGUCCUCAAGGAAGAUAAUGACGGUACUUGAGGAGGAAGCCCCGGCUAACUACGUGCCAGCAGCCGCGGUAAUACGUAGGGGGCUAGCGUUAUCCGGAAUUACUGGGCGUAAGGGGUGCGGAGGUGGUUUCUUAAGUCAGAGGUGAAAGGCUACGGCUCAACCGUAGUAAGCCUUUGAAACUGGGAAACUUGAGUGCAGGAGAGGAGAGUGGAAUUCCUAGUGUAGCGGUGAAAUGCGUAGAUAUUAGGAGGAACACCAGUUGCGAAGGCGGCUCUCUGGACUGUAACUGACACUGAGGCACGAAAGCGUGGGUAUCGAACAGGAUUAGAUACCCUAGUAGUC